Sorex araneus (European shrew) is the source of this 292-nucleotide unclassified non-coding RNA. Its record names the gene 7SK. It matches the Rfam family "7SK RNA". From Rfam's summary of the family: 7SK was discovered as an abundant small nuclear RNA in the mid-70s but a possible function has only recently been suggested. Two independent studies have found that 7SK RNA binds the CDK9/cyclin T complex (known as elongation factor P-TEFb). Lineage: Eukaryota; Metazoa; Chordata; Mammalia; Eulipotyphla; Soricidae. The record is from Ensembl.
GGAUGUGAAGGCAAUCUGGCUGAGACAUCAAGUGCCCCAGUGACGGCCAGGGUUGAUUUAUCUAAUCUGACUGGAUAGAUGAGGAUCCCAUUCCUAUUUCACCGUUUCAUGUCACCUUUCCUGAAGCUGCAUGCUCAGUCGAUGAGGAUGGUCUUCCCCAUGAGGAGGACCAUUCUUAGAUCUAGGAUACAUAAGUAGUUGAGGUCCCCUGCUAGAACCUCCAAACAAGCUUUCCCAGAUUCAGAUACAUACAGAACCAGAAUGCCGCUUGGCUUAGCUAAGGAGGCUUUAU